ACGAUAAAAAACAAGAGAAACGAAGGUGAGUCUUUUUCCGGUGAUGGUAAGAAACACCCAUACCGGAAAUGUAAAAAAAUACAUAGAUGGUGACGGCUCAAGUCAAAAUAUGCCGAAAAAGACAUCUUACGAGAAUAAUGCUCGACGUUGUUAAAAAAAAGAAUAAUGUUCAAAAUAUGAAAAUAUGAAAAUAUGAAAUACAAUUUUGACGCUGAAACCGUUAAUAUUAGAAAUAACAAAUGCUUAAAUGAAAAGUUAUUGUAAUUUAAUAGUUUUUACACCUGAAGCUCAAUUCACCACUAACAAAUAUUACUAUACACAAAACAACACAUUAUUGAAAAGAGAAACACAUAAUAUAUUAACCUAUAACCUAACAGUACAUAACACAAUAAAAUACUAAAUCAUGC
This 407-nucleotide long non-coding RNA is filed under the name Brassica napus (rape). Its description in RNAcentral is "long non-coding RNA (BNAP_LNC006564)". Lineage: Eukaryota; Viridiplantae; Streptophyta; Magnoliopsida; Brassicales; Brassicaceae. The record is from RNAcentral.